GCUCCGCUACAUACAAUAACAACAAACAAAACAAACAUUCUUUAAAAAUUUCUGGGGGUUGCAAGGAGAGGAAAAAUAAAAAAUAAAAAUAAAAUAAAAGGCACAAAAUCUUACCAGUCCUAAAAGGAAAGUGACUCAUUGGUGGUUUUAUACAAUUCCGCAUGGGAUUUAUUAUCUUUGGAUAAGUACUUUUUUUUUUUUCUUUUUUUUUUUUUAGUUUUUUACUGUAUUUUUAAUCAAAUAAAUGCAGCGAGCAGAACAGACUUCUUUAAAUCAAAACCACUUCAAAAUCUUACCAACCCCAAACUUUUGAACAGUACUGUAACCAUUUUUUUCUGCUUGAACCUGCAGGAAUCAAGAGACAUUUUGAUUCUAUCAUUAAAAAAGUCAAGGCGGGAAUCAGGAAGUCCAGUGCAGACCAUCAUAAUCUACAGGUGUUGAAAGGAUGUUCUGAAGCAUUCAUACCUCAAGAGACAUCGAGCCUAGUAGCCAUUAUGAGAGACCCCCUGCCAAGAUCAUAAUCAAAAAUGAAGUGACCCCAACUAAGCAAGCCAGAGGCGACAGCGGCAAGGAACCGAAACUCCAUCGGUGACAGAAUGGAGAAAAAAACCUUGGGAGAAACCAGCCUCAGUUGGGGGGCCAGUUCUCCUCUGACCAGACGAAACCAGUAGUUCAAUUCCAGACUGCAGCAAAGUCAGAUUGUGCAGAAGAAUCAUCUGUUUCCUGUGGUCUUGUCCUAGUGCUCCUCUGAGACAAGGUCUUUACAGGGGAUCUGUAUCUGGGGCUCUAGUUGUCCUGGUCUCUGCUGUCUUUCAGGGCAGUAGAGGUCCUUUCUAGGUGCUGAUCCACCAUCUGGUCUGGAUAUGUACUGGAUCCGGGUGACUGCAGUGACCCUCUGAUCUGGACACAGACUGGAUCUGGUGGCCACGGUGACCUCGGAACAAGAGAGAAACAGACAAAUAUUAGCGUAAAUGCCAUUCUUCUAAUGAUGUA
This is a long non-coding RNA of Carassius gibelio (silver crucian carp), 993 nucleotides long. RefSeq lists it as uncharacterized. The transcript is spliced from 3 exons. NCBI's taxonomy places the organism in Eukaryota, Metazoa, Chordata, Actinopteri, Cypriniformes, Cyprinidae. The record is from RefSeq and is a predicted model, not a curated record.